Long non-coding RNA from Triplophysa rosa, 3125 nucleotides. RefSeq lists it as uncharacterized. The record is from RefSeq and is a predicted model, not a curated record. Lineage: Eukaryota; Metazoa; Chordata; Actinopteri; Cypriniformes; Nemacheilidae. The transcript is spliced from 3 exons.
CUUCUUAGCGUCCUUUUUGGGUGCCAUUUUUCAGUAGUGUGUUUGUCUGCCGGGAGAAUAGCCAACACAGGGAGUGGACCACAGCUUGGAGGAUAUACUCAGCCCUCUCAAGGGGCCAAAGCCAGCCAGUUGUGAACGUGAUGACAGGCCAAGCCUUCAUCACCGCUCAGAUUCAUGGGUAUGGAAUUGACAUUGAGUCUCUCCCUCCAGGCUCCAGUCUUCUCUUCAUCAAUGCAAAUGAUGAAACCAAUGAGGGCAUUAUGCAUAAUGCCAAUCCAGCGUUCAUAGUGCAUUUCCAGCCCGAGGCGUAGGGAGGAACCACAGACUCAAGAGGUACCGUAUCUCUGCCAGCAGAUCUUACAGAGUCUGAUCUUUGCAUUUUUCAUCUCUGAACGUUCUCUCUUGAUCAUGUGAAGAGUUCUCCAUAGAGACUCAACCGUAGUGCACAUCAGGGGGCUGAUUAUUUCAAGUAAAAACCAGUCUGUGUACAUUUUUCAAGGGUCUUUUAUAGUUCUUUUUUAUGCUUUUUAUCUCUCUGAUAAAGGCAGUGUGGGAGGAAAACAUUGCAUCUGGGAUGCCAAAGUAACCCGCAGUUCCUCUGAGAGCCCAUGUGGGGGAGACAAACCACAUAAGUUGGAAGACCUCUUUGACAGCACAUGGUGAUAUCUGAGUCACUCCUCGUGGUCCUUGUUUUGUGGUUAGCUAUUUAAAAUGCUGGAGGACCUGUGUCCAAGUACCAGUGUUGUCCUGUUUUCUUACAUGGAGACAAUAGUAUUUGAGAUCAAGUGUAAAUAUGUGAUUUAAAAAAAUAUCUACUGUACAUUCAGCAAAAAGAUUAGGAGUUUACUGUUUGACUGUACUGUACUGUACAUUACAUUACUUUUAUCAGUAUGUAGAAUGUAUACAUUUAAAAUUUCAGACACACACCCUAGUUUGAACCAUUUCUAAAAGGGAGCCAGUUCCAUUUGGUGCCAGUAGUGGGCAUCAUCCAAACUUAGAAUUUUAUCUGUUGAUUGAGGACGUGCAUAUAUGCAAAUACAAAAAAAACAGAUAUCAAUGAAAAUGAAGAUGUUAGUAUCAUUGUUAAAAGUGUGAGGCGGCCACUGAAUUUGGCACUGUAGUAAAAUGGCAUGGCAAAAUAUUUUUUGGAAUAUUUAGACUGCAUUAGACACAUUUAAAUACAGCAGACAAUUAUGGGUUGUGAUGAGUCUUAUUGUCUGACAGGCGGCAGAUGCCUUAAAGGCCCCAGAUGAGACAAUUCCCUGUCAUGAUGAAAAUAGCUCAUGCUCUGUUGAAGGCCAUUAACCGGUCCAGAACUCUGUGGAGUUUGUGCAAGGUGGCUUGCUGAAAAUAUAAAAAAUUAGAACCUGGCACAUGCAUUUCAAACUAGUUCUUGUACCACAAAAGCAGUCAUAAGGAUUGACUGGAAAUUGAGAUAUAUACAUUAUCUGAAAUCUGGAUAAAUAAGCUUUCCAUUGAUGUAUGUUUUGUUAGGAUAAGACAAUAUUUGGCCGAGACACAACUAUUUGAAAAUCUGAAAUAUGGCGGUGCAAUAAUUUGUGUGAAAAUCGCCUUUAAAGUUGUCCAUCAGAGGUGCUUUAGCAGGCCGUUGCAGGUUUGUUUUAACGCUCUGUAUUGGCUUACCGCUGUAAUGACAUUGUGGAGAGUUGAUGAUAGUGUUGUAGUCGAGACCACCAAAACCGAGACCAAGACAAGACCGAGACCAGAGAGUGUCGAGACCAAGACACGACCAAGACCAAGACAGGCCGAGACCAAGACCAGCACUCCCAAAAUUAAUUCGAAAGAUCCACAAAACACUAAAAAGUCAUAAUAAAAUAACAAUAGAAGUAACUUGGGUGAUUUUUUGUGCAGAAAUGUAUGUGUAGGAUGUUUUAGGUUUCACGUUUUAUCACCCACCUACAUUAACAUAUUACAAUUUUUGUGCAGGUAAAAAUUCGAACAACAUAAAAAAACGGUAAAUACCCAAGAUAAAUUUGUGAAAGUCUGUGACCUUCAACAAAACAAAACAUUCAGUGACUUAAUUCGUUUCAUUGCUUUUUUAUCUAAUCAAUAGCAAAAUGGCUCAGAAAUGCACAAAAGUUCAGAUUUGUUCUAGAUAUAUUUGGGACUAGCCAAAAUAGAACAAAAACUUAUGUUUAAUUGUGUCUAAAACUUAAGUCACUUAUUAAUUCAAGGUUUAUUGAAUAAUUAUACAAAAUCAAUAUCACAUCAGAUGUUAUAAAAUAAAAAAACAAGAUCUCAUACAAGUACCUUUUUUGCAAUCACAUCUCGGAUAUUGUGGGCCUUGUGUGUAUUCAUUUUGCUGACACAUUUCUUUAAGACAAUCCCCCAUUCUUCUCUUACCAGCAGUAAGAGUAACAAAAGUAACAGAAGAAUCAAAUUAGGAACAAGUGGUGAAUGCUUUUAAAGCCAGACGUUUUACAUCCAAUUACAUGAAUGACGUUAACAAAUAAAUCAGACAAUGCACCAGCAAUUUAGUGUAAUUCCCACAGUUGUGGUCUUGACCAGUCUUGAAAUAAAAUCCUGAGACCACUAAGACUGAAACCAAGACAAAACCGAGACCAAAGACAGUCGAGACCGUGACAAGACCAAGACCAUCAAAAAAUGGUCUUGAGACCGGUCUCGAGUACUACAACACUAGCAGAUGAACCUGAAAGCACAAAUUCGAAGCUUUUCUGUAGAUAGCAAACUUGGGUAAUUCCGUAAGAGCAGGCAGCAUCGAGCAAUGUCAAGCCAUUUUUGUUUGUGAUUUUGCUGCAUCCUCUCACAAAAAUAACGUUUUGAUAGAUUUACGGUAGGAAAAAAUAUCUUUACAAAAUAUCUUCAUGGAACAUGAUAUUAUCUAUGAUUUUUGGCAUAUAAGAAAAAUCUAUCAUUUUGACCCAUACAAUGUUUUGUUGGCCAUAGCUACAAAUAUACCUGUGCUACUAAUGACUUGGUUUUGUGGUCCAGGGUCACAUAUUUAUUCUUUUCAUCAACUCCGAUGUCAUUAUUGACCCAUACACAUGAAUAGUCAUCACUCUUCAUUCAUGUAAAUUUAAACCGUUACAUCAUCUAAACAGAUGGCAUGCUUUGUGGAAAGCUAACAGCUCUUUCCGAUCAUU